GACGAACGCUGGCGGCGUGCUUAACACAUGCAAGUCGAACGGAAAGGCCCUGCUUGCAGGGUACUCGAGUGGCGAACGGGUGAGUAACACGUGGGUGAUCUGCCCUGCACUUCGGGAUAAGCCUGGGAAACUGGGUCUAAUACCGGAUAGGAGCCAUUUUUAGUGUGAUGGUUGGAAAGUUUUUUCGGUGUAGGAUGAGCUCGCGGCCUAUCAGCUUGUUGGUGGGGUAAUGGCCUACCAAGGCGGCGACGGGUAGCCGGCCUGAGAGGGUGGACGGCCACAUUGGGACUGAGAUACGGCCCAGACUCCUACGGGAGGCAGCAGUGGGGAAUAUUGCACAAUGGGCGCAAGCCUGAUGCAGCGACGCCGCGUGGGG
Molecule: ribosomal RNA, 376 nt
Filed under: uncultured bacterium
Lineage: Bacteria
Description: bacterial SSU rRNA
Rfam family: Bacterial small subunit ribosomal RNA
Source: RNAcentral